RNAcentral lists this long non-coding RNA (352 nucleotides) under Arabidopsis lyrata. RNAcentral's name for it is "long non-coding RNA (ALYR_LNC002863)". The record is from RNAcentral. Lineage: Eukaryota; Viridiplantae; Streptophyta; Magnoliopsida; Brassicales; Brassicaceae.
UAUUUCGCUUGGUACUGUUUCGUCGUAAAAAUUCUUUGCCAUGAUCAGAGUAGACAGCUUCUUGCAGCCUUGCAGAAUGCGGAGAGCACCUGUAAGGUUUGUCAUUUGAUUGUCUGAAAAAGUAAAGAACGACAGGGAUUCCAAUUCCAGUACUUGAGGAGAUAUCUGUCCCGUUAACUUGUUGCCUGCAAACCUCAUUGCUGUCAUCGUUUUGCAGGAGUAAACCGUGGAGGGGAAUUCCCCAGUGAAGCUAUUGUUUCCAAGGUCCAGAAUGCUGAGGCUCUGAAACUGGGAGAAGUCUAUCGCCGAUAAAUUUCCUCCCAGCUUAUUAACUCGUAAAUUCAACUUCACG